This 253-nucleotide ribosomal RNA is filed under the name uncultured bacterium. RNAcentral's name for it is "partial 16S ribosomal RNA". It matches the Rfam family "Bacterial small subunit ribosomal RNA", at positions 524 to 776 of the family's 1533-position model. The record is from RNAcentral.
GACAGAGGGUGCAAACGUUGCUCGGAUUUACUGGGCGUAAAGCGCGUGUAGGCGGGCGAUUAAGUCGGAUGUGAAAUCCCUGGGCUCAACCUAGGAACUGCAUUCGAAACUGGUCACCUAGAGUGAUGGAGAGGAAAGCGGAAUUCCCGGUGUAGAGGUGAAAUUCGUAGAUAUCGGGAGGAACACCAGUGGCGAAGGCGGCUUUCUGGACAUUUACUGACGCUGAGACGCGAAAGCGUGGGGAGCAAACAGG